CGCAGAACCCAAAUGGGCUUUGUUGCCAAGGUGGCAUCAUGGCAAAUACAACGCUAAAACAAUACAGUCAAGCCCCAUGAACUGCUGGAUUUGGAUCCUUACUGAGCUACGAGUGAGUAAAAGCUGAUCAAACACUUCAGGAGCUAGCUGCAACAGAUAAAUAAAGGUUUCCUG
Molecule: long non-coding RNA, 174 nt
Filed under: Crocodylus porosus (Australian saltwater crocodile)
Lineage: Eukaryota; Metazoa; Chordata; Crocodylia; Crocodylidae
Description: lncRNA (ENSCPRG00005008093.1)
Source: RNAcentral